Molecule: ribosomal RNA, 492 nt
Filed under: uncultured bacterium
Lineage: Bacteria
Description: partial 16S ribosomal RNA
Rfam family: Bacterial small subunit ribosomal RNA
Source: RNAcentral
AGUGAACGCUGGCGGUAGGCCUAACACAUGCAAGUCGAACGGCAGCACAGUAAGAGCUUGCUCUUACGGGUGGCGAGUGGCGGACGGGUGAGGAAUACAUCGGAAUCUACUUUUUCGUGGGGGAUAACGUAGGGAAACUUACGCUAAUACCGCAUACGACCUACGGGUGAAAGCAGGGGAUCUUCGGACCUUGCGCGAUUGAAUGAGCCGAUGUCGGAUUAGCUAGUUGGCGGGGUAAAGGCCCACCAAGGCGACGAUCCGUAGCUGGUCUGAGAGGAUGAUCAGCAACACUGGAACUGAGACACGGUCCAGACUCCUACGGGAGGCAGCAGUGGGGAAUAUUGGACAAUGGGCGCAAGCAUGAUCCAGCCAGACCGCGUGGGUGAAGAAGGCCUUCGGGUUGUAAAGCCCUUUUGUUGGGAAAGAAAAGCAGCAGGUUAAUACCCCGCUGUUCUGACGGUACCCAAAGAAUAAGCACCGGCUAACUUCGUG